Non-coding RNA from Cyanistes caeruleus (blue tit), 2151 nucleotides. The record is from RefSeq and is a predicted model, not a curated record. NCBI's taxonomy places the organism in Eukaryota, Metazoa, Chordata, Aves, Passeriformes, Paridae.
GGUUUCAGAGGAAUGGAGAUGGAGACACAGCUCUGCUUCUGACCUCUGCUGUGCCAUAAACAGAAAACUUCAGGAAGGGUUAACCUGAACAGCUGCCCACAGCACUCCACCAGUUUCCCUUCUCCUUAAAGAAAGCACACAUUUCUCCAGCUGUGAGAGAAGACUUUGCCAGGAAAAUCGCCUCUGUCCAGGGAGCUUGGCGAUACAAAAACCACCUCAGUAUUUGCAAACCUACAGUGACAACAAAUGGAUUUCUUGUGUCACCUGGACCCUAAACCAAGUAGCAUCAGCUUUAACAACAUGACUGAAUGUAUAAGCUUGGGAAGUGAAUUUCCAGCCUCAGAAAAUGUUUCUACCUGCUCAACAUUUGUCAUGUUCGCUCUUUGUGGGAGGGUAAUCAGAUUAACAGGUUGUUUCCCAGUGAACUUCUACACUCUAAGGCAGAAAGAAACCUAUGGCAAAAUAAGCUUAUGCUAACAGCACUAUAAAUCCACUGUGAGCUACGCUGGGAGAUGGGCCUUCACUGAGGAGCCAGCUCUUGAAGGAGACGAGGCAGACGAGGAGAAGGCGACAAAUGGAGCAUCCUAAAACUGCCGCAACAGAAGUGGUGGUGGAAUUCCUGAGCCGUUUUCCAGAGAAUCCCACCAUUUUCUGUUCACUCAUCUCUCCUCCCCAUCCUUCCUCUCUGGCAGCCAGGAUGGGCCUGGGAUGUGCUCCUGAUGGAAAGAGGGGCCCCUUCAGUAGAAGUGGAUGAGGUGAUAUGACCUGGCUUUUCCUGGCAGCCUGCUCAGAAGGUGAAGCUGUGGAAAAUGAAGCAUCUCCUUAUCUGGUACAAGGUCAUGCUGUGGGGAUACAGGCAUCUCUUCUGUGUCUUGUCAGCCUCAAAGAUGGGAAGACAUAGUGUGUUGUGGCCUGAUGCUGUUGGGAGGACCGACCCCAAACCAGAUUUUACAAAGACACACUAGCAAGGCUUCCAGGACUGGGAACUUGUGGAUAUGAGCACUGAAAUUGGACAGGAGGCUGGCUGAAAGUGUACCAGAGCUCUACAGGGAUUUCUUGUGCCUUUUCAAGGAAGGAUUUGCUGUGUUCUAGAAUGUGUAAAUAUUGUUCAGGGCUUGUUUUGUUUUGUUUUUUAUCUGAAAUGCUUGCCAAGGAAAUAGAACUGUACAAACAUAAUUAGCCAGAGGCUGAACAUUUAAUCUUAAAUUCUGAGUCUUCAUUAAGUCUUAAUUUAAACCUUAGGAGGGAAGCUUGCAACCAUUCCUGUUCAUAAGAGUGGAUAGCAUUUGUGGCAGGUUUUAAUGGCAGAAGAGGGAAACCACUCCAGUGGGGAAAGCUUGGAAAACUCUCCUGAAGCCAGUAAGUGGUCAAGUGGUUGUGUCAUGGAUAAUGGGACAAGAUCUGGAUUCAAGUCACCUCUUGUGUGGUCAAAGCAGGUCAUGGUGGAUGGGACUUUGGGCAACCUGAUCUGGUGGAAGGUGUCCGUGCUUGUGGGGUUGGGAUCAGACGGGCUUGCAGCUCCCUUCCAGCCCAAACCAUUUUGUGGCUAGGAGUUUAAGAAUGUGGUGUGGGAGAACUGGAGGGCUUGUGGGUUGAAAAAAUGAGUGCUUUCCCUUUGCAUGAGUUACUCAAAUCAGGAUGGCAUUUUAGGGGUAGGGUUUUGGUUUUUUUCCCCACAGGUGAUCUGUCCAUGUGUGAUCUUCCAACAGCACUGUUAUUUUUACCUGAAAAAGGGACAAUUUCUGAAUUUGAAUCAAUUGUAAUCUAUCAAAUAAACUGCUAGUACCUUUUAUUUUUAUCUCAAUUUAUGGAGAAAAAUUUCUACACUAGGCAUGAUAGGGGAAAAAAAAACCUAGAGGGAGAAAAAUUAAAUAAAACAAAUCCUUCUAUUCCCUUCUGCAAGCACUUUUAUGAUCUGGGAAGUUGUGGAGGAAUGUGAAGGUGCUGUGAUUUCUCCUACACUUUCCUUUGCCUUUUUUAAUAAGAGCUAUCAAAUGACAUCUUUGUGAGGAACACGCCAGACCCUCUGCACAUCAAAUAAAGUCCAAAAAGCAGCAGAAUUAAUUCCUGUGACUGUUCAUGCCAAAUCUGUUUUCUUGUUCAGUGUUGUUGGCAGGGGUCAUAAUUUGAAGUAGCCUUCUUUUUUUUCCC